Molecule: ribosomal RNA, 409 nt
Filed under: bacterium
Lineage: Bacteria
Also listed under: 1 other name
Description: partial 16S ribosomal RNA
Rfam family: Bacterial small subunit ribosomal RNA
Source: RNAcentral
UGGGGAAUAUUGGACAAUGGGCGGAAGCCUGAUCCAGCAACGCCGCGUGAGGGAUGACGGCCUUCGGGUUGUAAACCUCUUUCAGUACCGACGAAGCGAAAGUGACGGUAGGUACAGAAGAAGGACCGGCCAACUACGUGCCAGCAGCCGCGGUAAUACGUAGGGUCCGAGCGUUGUCCGGAAUUAUUGGGCGUAAAGGGCUCGUAGGCGGUUUGUCGCGUCGGGAGUGAAAACCAUGGGCUUAACUCAUGGCUUGCUUUCGAUACGGGCAGACUAGAGGUAUGCAGGGGAGAAUGGAAUUCCUGGUGUAGCGGUGAAAUGCGCAGAUAUCAGGAGGAACACCGGUGGCGAAGGCGGUUCUCUGGGCAUUACCUGACGCUGAGGAGCGAAAGUGUGGGGAGCGAACAGG